CUGGCCUUUUUUAAGUCAGAGUGCUUUGCUAAGGGGCCACCGAUUGAGUGUCCACAUACUUCAAAGCCCUUAACCAGAAGACAGGAAAUGAGUCAUUCAACAGUAAUGAGUCCAAGAGCUGAUGUUCCAAACUCCAGAAGGGACUCACUCGCAACAAUUCCAAGAAAAUAAGGCACAUGACGUCAAACACUGGAUAAUCCAUAGUAUGUGAGAUGCUCACCCACGGAAGAAAGAGUACAUGAAGACCCAGUGAGAAUGUGACAAUCUACAAGCCAAGGAGAGAAGCCUCAGAAAAAAAUAACCCUGCCCACACCUUGAUAUUGAACUUCUUAGCCCCUUGGACUGUGAGAAAAUCAAUUUUUGUUGUUUAAGCUAUCUGGUCUUUGUUAUUUUGAGAUAGAAGCCUUAGCAAACUAAUGCAGAUGUUUCUGGGAUUUAUUCUAGAAAGUAUAGGUAUCAAAAGGGUACAGAGGGAACUAGUGCUGGGAAUUCUAUAGCUGUUACAUAGCUAUUUGUUAAUGUGCCAACCAAAUUCAGAUUAUUCAAUGAAACAGUUAUAAGAUCGAUUAUUUUGACUCAGAUUAUUUUGACUCAGAUUAUUUUGACUCAAAAAGGAAUAAAUGAAUGUAAUGUCAGAAUAGUGCUACAAAUUAGGACAAAAAAGAUAAGCUGGAAAAUAU
RNAcentral lists this long non-coding RNA (680 nucleotides) under Callithrix jacchus (white-tufted-ear marmoset). RNAcentral describes it as "lncRNA (ENSCJAG00000065958.2)". The record is from RNAcentral. Lineage: Eukaryota; Metazoa; Chordata; Mammalia; Primates; Cebidae.